Molecule: long non-coding RNA, 1471 nt
Organism: Peromyscus eremicus (cactus mouse)
Lineage: Eukaryota; Metazoa; Chordata; Mammalia; Rodentia; Cricetidae
Exons: 2
Source: RefSeq, a predicted model, not a curated record
GCUCAAACUAGCUUAAAGGUCAUGAAACGUGACUUACUGGUGUUGACAUCGUCUAUAUAAAUAGAAGUGUAGGAGGCAGAAAAGCCCCUGUAGGAAUUGGCAUAAUCUGUAGAUAGCACAACUGUCAUGGAGUUGGAGGAAGAUUCAAAGAAUCACUCCAUCCUCCAGGAACCUAAGGGCCUCAACCCACAUCUAAUGAAUCAGACCAGGGGAGUCUGGUCCCUGACAGAUGUCGCAGAGGUCUCGAGUUACUAAACAGGCUGAACAGAGUCUCUCCAUUGGGCUCAGCACUUGGCAACCUGUAGCUGUCUGAUGAGCCAAAUCUGCCUCGCCAGAAACUGGUUAGAGGAAAAGCACCCUGAGCUUCCCCAGAAGCAAAGAAUGGGAUUUUCAAAGGUGGCCACUGAAUCUGCGAUUUCUGUACACAGAUCUGGAGAAAUGCCUUUCCUCCAGACAGGGCUUGAGAGCACGAUGUCCCCAGCAGGAGCUGUUGUGACAUGUAUUUGCAGAGGGUGUGGGAAGGAUGCAUCAAGGACAACUUACAGGUAUCAGAAGAGAAGAAGUAGUAGAAGAUAAAGACACUUCUUUGGACACUUGUCAAGCCCGUGACGAUCUGAAACGUCAGGGAAUUGGACGAUGAUUCAAAUACAGGCACGAAGUCACUUUUACUGCAGACUUUCCCUAGCAGAGGCCCGUUGGUGGAGCUUCCAUCAAACACCUUAAUGUUUUCACUUUCACACCUUCCGUCUGGAUCCAACCUGGGAACAGAACACGCCUGUGGCUGGAGAAGAGCCAUUCACAAAGUGGCUUUCAAAAUACACUGUCCCCUGUUCGUAUUAGCACCACAGUUUAUAAAGUGGAGGCAAUCUGGCUCAUUUAGACCUCUGCUAGACCAGUCAUGGGCUUCACCCUUCUUUAACAUCAAACUACAACCUUAAUGGACUCAGGAAAGUGAAGUCACUUGCCAGCACCUUACAGUUAGUGAAUGCUCAAACACAGGCCUAGCAUCCGGGGCUGGAGUCCUCCCUGGCUUCCAUUACCCCUGUUUGCUGUGCCUCCAUGGUGACCAGUUGAUAUAGAAUAGUUCUAAUUUAGAAUCCAGCCUCACUAAUAUUUGAUAUCCAAGCUUGCUGAAAAUCAAGUCCUUCUCCAUGGCCACCUUCCAGGGAAGCAUCCCCCAGCUGCCCCUUUCUCCCCACCACAGGCUCAUUCUGAAGGACGGUCCAAUGCUCUGCACUGAACAGGCAGCCCAGGAUUUCUAUUUUAUGCCCACGCUGUCAGGCUCUUUUCAAAUGCCCAUGGAGGAGCUAUGUCCAAGAUGGCUUUGAGCCAAUAAUACAGACACAGAGAAGCUGAACUCCCUUCCACCUUAAGCACCUUCCUGGCUGUAUAGCUUUAGACCAGCUAUUUAACUGUUUGUUUGACUUCAGACUUCUGUAAAAUGAAUAUCACGAUGUGCUUUUUAUAUUUA